AGGCAGCGAGCGUUGUUCGGAGUUCUGGGCGUAAAGGGUGCGUAGGCGGCCUCUUAAGUUUGGUGUGAAAUCUCCCGGCUUAACCGGGAGGGUGCGCCGGAUACUGAGGGGCUAGAGUGUGGGAGAGGAAAGUGGAAUUCCUGGUGUAGCGGUGAAAUGCGUAGAUAUCAGGAGGAACACCUGUGGUGUAAACGGCUUUCUGGACCAUAACUGACGCUGAGGCACGAAAGCGUGGGUAGCAAACAGGAUUAGAUACCCUGGUAGUCCACGCCCUAAACGAUGCAUAUUUGGUGUGGGCCAUUCAGUUGGUCUGUGCCGGAGCUAACGCGUUAAAUAUGCCGCCUGGGGAGUACAGUCGCAAGGCUGAAACUCAAAGGAAUUGACGGGGGCCCGCACAAG
Molecule: ribosomal RNA, 399 nt
Filed under: uncultured bacterium
Lineage: Bacteria
Description: bacterial SSU rRNA
Rfam family: Bacterial small subunit ribosomal RNA
Source: RNAcentral